Leptonychotes weddellii (Weddell seal) is the source of this 381-nucleotide non-coding RNA. NCBI's taxonomy places the organism in Eukaryota, Metazoa, Chordata, Mammalia, Carnivora, Phocidae. The record is from RefSeq and is a predicted model, not a curated record.
CUGCUGUCACACGUGCAGCUGCUGGGAAUGCUCACGUCCAGGUCUGGGGUGAGCAGAAGUCUUCACUUCCGCGGGACAAAGGCCCAGGAGGGUCGGGACUGUUGAGGCAUGCGGCAAAUACGCUGGAGCAAAAGUGGUGCCCAAUGCUCAGCUAACCUUCCCGGACUUCGGUUUUCUACAGUCUUGACUCGAGCAGCGGGUGUAGUAACUAAUCUGGAGACAAGGAUGACAGGAAAGGACACACACGGACCUCUCCAACUGUAAGGGGACAUCGGGUCCUCCGCGAUCCCUAUUGGUGACACAGCUGCAGAUGCUGCUAUUAUUACUAGGAUUUGUGGACUCUGUUGUAAAGGAAAGGAUGAGUUUCAGUUAGAAGCUGGU